Molecule: ribosomal RNA, 488 nt
Filed under: uncultured bacterium
Lineage: Bacteria
Description: bacterial SSU rRNA
Rfam family: Bacterial small subunit ribosomal RNA
Source: RNAcentral
GAUGUGAAAGCUGGGAGGCAUCUCUUGGUUUUCAAAGCUGGGGACCGUAAGGCCUGGCGCUUCAUGAUGAGCCCGCGGCCUAUCAGCUAGUUGGUAAGGUAACGGCUUACCAAGGCUAAGACGGGUAGCUGGUCUGAGAGGACGACCAGCCACACUGGAACUGAGACACGGUCCAGACACCUACGGGUGGCAGCAGUCGAGAAUUUUUCACAAUGGGCGCAAGCCUGAUGGAGCGACGCCGCGUGGGGGAUGAAUGGCUUCGGCCCGUAAACCCCUGUCAUUUGCGAUCAAACGUUAUUGUUUAAGAGAUGAUGACCUGAUAGUAGCGAAAGAGGAAGGGACGGCUAACUCUGUGCCAGCAGCCCGCGGUAAUACAGAGGUCCCAAGCGUUGUUCGGAUUCACUGGGCGUAAAGGGUGCGUAGGUGGCGGGGUAAGUCGGAUGUGAAAUCUCCGAGCUCAACUCGGAAAUGGCAUUGGAAACUGCUCU